Cygnus olor (mute swan) is the source of this 4684-nucleotide long non-coding RNA. RefSeq lists it as uncharacterized. The transcript has 3 exons. Lineage: Eukaryota; Metazoa; Chordata; Aves; Anseriformes; Anatidae. The record is from RefSeq and is a predicted model, not a curated record.
UGGAACCAGACACACUGGUGGGUGUGUUGGGUCUCUGAGCAGCGCUAAGGAAUUUCGCUGGGCAGAGUCUUUACACAGAUCCCAGAAAUAGUUCAAGUCAUGAGAAUAUGCCCAGCAUCACAGAUGUUCCUCUUGGCUGCUACGCUGAGAGAGGAAGGAAGGAAUUGUUCUGGAUGAGGCUCCUAUCACCUGCCCCACCGAAUGGGAAAAGCCCAUGAGACUUCUUUUUAGGAAGUGCUGGAGCAAUGCCUGCAUCAUCCUUACUGUUCCCAGGUCGGGACAUGGUAGAGCUGCAUGUUGUUGUGCCGUUAUGUACAAUUAAUAUGUCUUUUUUUUUUUUUCUGUCCAGUGGCCAUUGCUGGUGCCGCAGCCUGGCGCUGGGCUCUGCUCUCUGGCCUCGGCGUGGUGCAGAGGUGGCGGGGGCACAGCUACAGCACUGCAGAGCAUCACCCGACAGCAUCUCCGGGACGUCGCUCCAGGGAGCGCCUGGCCACUAUUAAACCCUGCCAAAGACUCUGUAAGGCUUUCCUGAAGUGCUGUAAGGCAAUAAGCACUUUUUUGCCCUCCUGCCACCUUGAGCAGUAACAGCAGCUGUUACCAAGCCAACAGUAAAGCAAACGAAGCCCUCGCACUGGGGCUGGGAGAUGCUGCUAAUGAUAUUCGCUUGCCACGGCUCGGAAGCGCUGGCAGAGCUAUCACGGAGCAGUUAGGCAUCCCGGCCACAGAAACGCUGGAUGUUUGUGCGGGGGUGAGUGUCCCCUGGCUAUUUGCAAAUUCUCUGCCUUUUUGAACUGGAGGCUUUAUGAGGAGAACCUGGAGAUGAUAAUAAUAUAAGAAACUGGAGACACUUUCCAGGGGCCCCAUCUAGCUCCGUCUCUGUUGCCAUGCGUGGGAGUUGCACGGGGCUCUGAGCAAACAGACGGUUCCUCCUUACUGCCUGGGUUGGCGGCAUAUGGCUUUCUAAACGUGUUUAGUUUAGGGGUUUGCAUUUGCAUCCAGCUCCCAACUUCCAGCAGGUCCCCGUAGCUGCACUUCACCUCCUUGCCAGCAUGAUGGUCCAAACGCAGUUCUUGUCUCCUUUGACUGUGUGUUCCUGUAGUACAAGCCACAGCACUAAGCUGGGCCCAGGGAAAUGUGGUGGAAUCUCAAUGCUGUGCUGGCAGGGAAAUGUGGUGGAAUCUCGGCCCUGCUGGGUCCAGGCUUGCUGCAGGGAAUCAACCCUUGUUCUGCUGCUCCCACCGAGAGCCAAGUGCUGCCGAGGCACAGGGUGUAACUGGCCAGAAAAGGAGGUUGUUGUAGGCCACCAAACCUCUCAAUGCAAAUAAAUGGCAAUAAAACAGAGCCAAGAAUAUGCAUGUUCAGUGUUGGUCAUGUCCAUGGCCUUACUCUUCCCUCACUUGACUGUUUUUAUCUUUCUAGGCUAUCAAAUAUUUGGAGCACAGAAGAAAUCUCUGUACCAGAGCUACUGCGUUGGGAUCUCUAUAGAAUAAUGUUAAUUCUUUCAAUUUCAUUCUUAUCCCAAGCAGUGAUCUUCUACCCCCAAGCAUGAAAGUAGCCUUUGUAAUGCUACCUUAGUGAACGCAGCUGCAGAAAAUUUCUCUGCCUACUAACGGGCUCUUUCGUCUAGGGUAGAAAGGCAUAGCAGGGUCCAAUGGCUAGGAGCUGAAGCCAGAUAAAUUCAAAUGAGGAAUAAAGAGAAAAGAUUCACAUUUUAAACAUUGAAGUUGAUUAAGCACUAGUUCAAAGAAAGUGGUGGAUUCUUCAUGUCCACCUGGCCCUAGAACAAGCCGAAGCACUUUCCAGAAGAUCUGCUUUAGCAGACACAGGUUGUUACGCUCAGCACGGGGUUAUUGGGCGAAAUGUAAUGGCCUGAGAUAAACAGGAGGUCAGCCGAGCUGUGCUGAUGGCCUUUUCUGGCCCUCAGCUCUACGAACAGCAUGCAUAUGAAAAUACGCGCUCUAAAGCAAGCUACUUAAAAUGCAUGCCUAACUCUAAGCGUGGAAGUAUUCUGGCUCUCUUCACUGGGAUUUGCCUGCUAAAUCUAGACUCCUGUCCUGCAGGUUUGAUCCGAUCCAGCUUGAAGUCAGUGAGGAUCUUCUCCCUGGCCACUUCAGAUUGAGCUCUCAGACAGGAAUAGUUUAGUUCAGCUCCCCAAAAUGCAUUUCAUGCUAAAACCACUCUGCUCUUGUAUGAGCACUGUGUGCUGAAGGAUCUUAAAGCAUUUUGCAAACAUUAAUUCGCUACUUAAUUAAACUUAAAACACAAUGAUCUUGAGCAGAUGAGCUUUGUGUCUUUCUUCAAGCACCAUUUAUAAAAGGAAUAGGUUGCACUUGUCAUGCUGAUAACAGUGCCUAACUUUCCCACUUACAUUGUGUUUCUAAACCCAGUUUAAGUUGUUUUCCUUCAAUACGAACAGUUUUUGGAACAGUUUUUGAAAGAAAAAUGCAAUCCAAGCACACUUAUUUAUUUUGUUGGUGGUGCUGGAAAUUAGAGUACAAACGCUUUAUCUGCAUUACAAACACUAUUACAAAGUGCUAGAGUGCUUUAAUCUAUCUUCUAGACUUUUUUUUGUUAUUAUUAUUCAUGCUUGAAGUGCUUCAUCUUAAUGCUCACAGUAGUUACCAUAGGCACACACAGCAGCACCAACCCCACUAGAGGCUUUUCUGUGUUUUGUUUUCUUUUUCCUGAUGCUCUUAUUACUUGGAUGACAUUAAAGUAUAAACAAGCCAACAGAUGUGCCCACAACCUGGUAGCUCUCUUGGUGAAAGGAAAUAAUUGCAGGAAGAGGGGUUUUGUGUGUGUUAUUAUUGGGACAGUGUCCUAAGUGCUACUAGAUGGUGAUAUUAUCAGAAAGUAGAUUGGAAAGUGUUGCCUAAAAAUCACAUGGGAGACAGCAUAUAGCUGCAGGGAAAGGCCUGAUGGUGCUGGAUUUAUGUUUGGGUUGGCUUGAUGAAUCUUCCAGCCCCUAUUCUGAAGCACAGAUAUGCCUGCCUCCCUCUGGCUGUUAACAGCUAAAGGACGAUGGAUCUGAAGCUGCAGCACAGAGGAAUUACUGGGACUUCAGCUCUCUCCAAAUGAACCAUCUGCUUAGCAGCCAAGGCAAGUUUAAUACAGCAGACCUCUGACUUCCACUAUUCAGUCCUUCCCACACAUAGAGGCUAAGCUGAUAGAUGUGGGAUAACUGCAUUUAUGGACAGUGGUUCUCUGAAGACAAAGGUCCUGAGAGGGAUGUCCUACCUCCUUUACUCGUUAUUCCCUAAAACUCAGCAAGGGACCAGCCUGAGACCUGGAGCACAGGGACAGAGCUGCUGGAGGAGUGACCACCCCGGCCAGAUGGCACACACGAUGGAGCAGAGCUCUUCCUAUAUUGCAUUUCAGGGCCAGAAUGUCACCUGCUGUAAAGCAGCAGUUGCUGCAAAUAAGUCACUUUAGAACAGGUGAAGGUCUGGCCCCCAGCAACCAGUUUUAUUCCUUGAUUACUCAGAAGGGACUCAAUCAUUUUCUGGAUCAUUUGGAAGCUGGGUGAAUGGAGACUCACAAAUGCUCCUUAUCAAAACUCCCCAAGCCAUCUUCUAUUAUCUGAUUUCCCUCUCCUCCCCCUUUUAUAAGAAAAAUCUCAUCAAUCAAACCAUUACACUGAAAUGUUAGCAUUUUAAGUGCAUUUGCUAUGUAUGGACAGAGUCAGCACACACAUCCAGCACAUAAAAAUUUGAUAAUUUCACAUUUCAAAAAGAGAUAUCAAAAGGCAUAAUUUAAUAUGUUCUCAUUGAAAAAAUCAUGAACUGUACAUUCCCUAGUACUGUAUAUUCAACAAUCUUAAUUACUGAAGCUAUUUACAUUCAGAAGAUAAUUUUCACAACUUGAAGGGUUAGAAAGAGGUGGUGGGUUGAUUCUAUUUUCUGUUGUGUUUUGAUUUUCAGUGAAGGCCAAGUCUUCUGAUUCCCUGGAAAAUGAGAACCUGAUCCACCAUCCUCCAGGACCACCACUGAACUUCAGAUUGGACCCUGAAAGUGGUGUUUGUCUUGAUCAUCUCUCAAACUGGAGAAUGACUGAAUUAAGAUAUUGCACUGGAAAAUGUCUGGCAGAACCAAAUUUCUUGGGCGGUGGGAUUUGUGUGUGGUUACUGGAUCUCACAAGCUGGUGGUUCGCCUGUUCAUGUUUUCACACUUGUGUGAUGAGGAAUGAAGUUGUGGCAGUUUGGGGAAUUCCCGAUACAGCUCAGAUGGGUCUGCAGACAUCAAUCCAGUAGAAGCGGAAGGAUGAGUGCUUGUUUGGGACAACAGGCCUUUGCAUUUGUAUAUACGUUAGUACAGAUCAGAGCAGAGGGAUAUGACAUUAUUUCAUAACCUGUAUUUUGAGCUGACCUGCUCUAUUACUGAGAUGAUGUGCUGUGGAAAUGGACAGGAACAUGGUAAUGUGUUCAUAUUAUAGUUUGGUGGACAAUCACUUCCUAACAGGAGAGCAUAUAGGUCUAAGGGAAUGUGCUGAAAUGUAUGCAAAUGAAUGUAGAUAUAUGCAAAUAUGCAAUCUACAUUUUCCCCACCUUCUUUUGCAGAGGAUAUUAGUAGGUAUGCAAAGAUCUAAAAUGAUCCAAUCGAGAGCAAUGCUGAGAGAGUGAUAGGAGGUGCAGGUACCCCAAAGUUUGAGUGAAUGUACACUAAAAUCUCUCCUCCCAUCCAUCUCU